Molecule: microRNA precursor, 80 nt
Filed under: Myotis davidii
Lineage: Eukaryota; Metazoa; Chordata; Mammalia; Chiroptera; Vespertilionidae
Description: mir-9193 microRNA precursor family
Rfam family: mir-9193 microRNA precursor family
Source: Rfam by way of RNAcentral
CUUGGGGGGGGGCGGUUGGUGUCCCUCAGCCCAGAUUGUGAGAGGGUGCAGGUCAGGCAGAGGGACCCUACCAGUACACA